AAGCGGUGGAGCAUGUGGUUUAAUUCGAAGCAACGCGAAGAACCUUACCAAAUCUUGACAUCCUUUGACCGCUCUAGAGAUAGAGUCUUCCCCUUCGGGGGACAAAGUGACAGGUGUUGCAUGGUUGUCGUCAGCUCGUGUCGUGAGAUGUUGGGUUAAGUCCCGCAACGAGCGCAACCCUUAAGCUUAGUUGCCAGCAUUAAGUUGGGCACUCUAAGUUGACUGCCGGUGACAAACCGGAGGAAGGUGGGGAUGACGUCAAAUCAUCAUGCCCCUUAUGAUUUGGGCUACACACGUGCUACAAUGGACAGUACAAAGGGCAGCGAAACCGCGAGGUCAAGCAACUCCCAUAAAGCUGUUCUCAGUUCGGAUUGUAGUCUGCAACUCGACUACAUGAAGCUGGAAUCGCUAGUAAUCGUAGAUCAGCAUGCUACGGUGAAUACGUUCCCGGGUCUUGUACACACCGCCCGUCACACCACGAGAGUUCGUAACACCCGAAGCCGGUGGAGUAACCUUUCAGGAGCUAGCCGUCGAAGGUGGGACGAAUGAU
This 550-nucleotide ribosomal RNA is filed under the name Staphylococcus carnosus. RNAcentral's name for it is "bacterial SSU rRNA". It matches the Rfam family "Bacterial small subunit ribosomal RNA", at positions 927 to 1475 of the family's 1533-position model. The record is from RNAcentral. Lineage: Bacteria; Bacillati; Bacillota; Bacilli; Caryophanales; Staphylococcaceae.